AUUGAACGCUGGCGGCAUGCCUUACACAUGCAAGUCGAACGGCAGCACGGGAGCAAUCCUGGUGGCGAGUGGCGAACGGGUGAGUAAAGUAUCGGAACGUGCCCAGUCGUGGGGGAUAACGUAGCGAAAGUUACGCUAAUACCGCAUACGAGCUAUGGAUGAAAGCGGGGGAUCGCGAGACCUCGCGCGAUUGGAGCGGCCGAUAGCAGAUUAGGUAGUUGGUGGGGUAAAGGCGCACCAAGCCGACGAUCUGUAGCUGGUCUGAGAGGACGACCAGCCACACUGGGACUGAGACACGGCCCAGACUCCUACGGGAGGCAGCAGUGGGGAAUUUUGGACAAUGGGCGAAAGCCUGAUCCAGCCAUGCCGCGUGCAGGAUGAAGGCCUUCGGGUUGUAAACUGCUUUUGUACGGAACGAAAAGGUUUGGCCUAAUAAGCUGAGCUCAUGACGGUACCGUAAGAAUAAGCACCGGCUAACUACGUGCCAGCCGCCGCCGUAA
This 500-nucleotide ribosomal RNA is filed under the name uncultured bacterium. RNAcentral describes it as "partial 16S ribosomal RNA". It matches the Rfam family "Bacterial small subunit ribosomal RNA", at positions 29 to 523 of the family's 1533-position model. The record is from RNAcentral.